AGUUUGCGGAGUAAAGGGUGAAGUUGGAAAUUGAGCGUUACAAGUGAGUGGCAGGAAGGUUUAAACAGAAGAUCCAGUCUGUUAAUAUUCUCUCUGUGUAUGUGGAUUGUGUGGCACGCGGCAAACAGACUCAUCUGGAAAAAGACGCAAGGGAGAACCUUGAUUUCCAGAAGAACUGAUGUUGGAAUUAACUGAUGAUGGAAUCAACCUACAGGAAGAAAACCGAGGAAGCCCAGCAUCCAUCUGAAGACAGAUCAGCUACAAAGGGAAGAUUCCAACAUCUGAAAUACUGAGGUGAUCCCAUUACAAACAGUGAUGACACAGCGUUGCCUGAGCCCUGCCUCCAGUCCUGCUUGAGGGGUCCUGAGCGGUGGCACAGAGUGCUCUGUGCUGUGGCUCCUCUGGGUAAACUCGGAAAGGACAGAGUCACGUGAACAUGUCCUGGCAUCGUGGAUGGUGGAACAAAGUUUCCAAGCGCCAAGCCCUAAGGGAGAAAUACCGUUGUUUCCGUAGUGCACAGGCACCGUGGUGCACCUGCCUGUGAAGAGCUUACCGUCCCAGAUCAGGUCUGACCGACUGCAGCACAAGGUUCCAAGCUGACGGGUGCAGUGGGGAGUUAGGGCCCUUCUUGCGCCCCUGCCCCCACCCAGACUUUUCAGAGGCUCCCAAAGGCAUGGGCGGCGGUGUAGUGAUUUUCACCACGGUUUUCUAAAUGUUCUAAAUUUCCCAUAACAAAUUCACUAUUUAUCAGAAAAAAGGCUAUUAAAAGGAAACCAAA
This is a long non-coding RNA of Camelus dromedarius (Arabian camel), 778 nucleotides long. RefSeq lists it as uncharacterized. The transcript is spliced from 4 exons. NCBI's taxonomy places the organism in Eukaryota, Metazoa, Chordata, Mammalia, Artiodactyla, Camelidae. The record is from RefSeq and is a predicted model, not a curated record.